RNAcentral lists this ribosomal RNA (382 nucleotides) under uncultured eukaryote. RNAcentral's name for it is "partial 18S ribosomal RNA". It matches the Rfam family "Eukaryotic small subunit ribosomal RNA", at positions 592 to 976 of the family's 1831-position model. The record is from RNAcentral.
CAAUAGCGUAUAUUAAAGUUGUUGCAGUUAAAAAGCUCGUAGUUGGAUUUCUGGUUGAAGCGACCGGUCGGGCGUUGAUUCGUCUGCACUGGAGUCGGUUUUGGCCAUCCUCUAGGGAAGUGCGUCUGGUAUUAAGUUAUCGGGCGUAUGAUCCUGGUCUUUUACUGUGAAAAAAUUAGAGUGUUUAAAGCAGGCCUUCGCCUUGAAUACAUUAGCAUGGAAUAAUAAGAUAGGACUUUGGUCUAUUUUGUUGGUUUGCAGACCGAAGUAAUGAUUAAUAGGGAUAGUUGGGGGUAUUUAUAUUCCGAUGUCAGAGGUGAAAUUCUUAGAUUUUCGGAAGAUAAACUUAUGCGAAAGCAUUUACCAAGGAUGUUUNCAUUAA